GAGACUAUAGCUCAGCUGGAUAGAGCAAUUGCCUUCUAAGCAAUGGGUCGCAGGUUCGAAUCCUGUUAGUCUCA
This 74-nucleotide transfer RNA is filed under the name Malacoplasma sp. RNAcentral's name for it is "tRNA-Arg". It matches the Rfam family "tRNA". Rfam says of the family: Transfer RNA (tRNA) molecules are approximately 80 nucleotides in length. Their secondary structure includes four short double-helical elements and three loops (D, anti-codon, and T loops). Further hydrogen bonds mediate the characteristic L-shaped molecular structure. tRNAs have two regions of fundamental functional importance: the anti-codon, which is responsible for specific mRNA codon recognition, and the 3' end, to which the tRNAs corresponding amino acid is attached (by aminoacyl-tRNA synthetases). tRNAs cope with the degeneracy of the genetic code in two manners: having more than one tRNA (with a specific anti-codon) for a particular amino acid; and 'wobble' base-pairing, i.e. permitting non-standard base-pairing at the 3rd anti-codon position. Lineage: Bacteria; Bacillati; Mycoplasmatota; Mycoplasmoidales; Mycoplasmoidaceae. The record is from RNAcentral.